Molecule: small RNA, 1074 nt
Filed under: Arabidopsis thaliana (thale cress)
Lineage: Eukaryota; Viridiplantae; Streptophyta; Magnoliopsida; Brassicales; Brassicaceae
Description: ATSL300590
Source: RNAcentral
UUUUUUUUAUCUUUUACUAAUGAAUUGAACUUAAGCAAUUAUAAAAAAAAAACACUCCAAUUCCAUUUGCUAUAACAAAAAUUAGAAUUUAGACAGAAUAUUAUUAAGCAACUGGAAUUUAACUCGUGGUAUACCACAGGGCAAAUAUUUUAUUUUUAUAAAUAAUAUUAUUAAAUUUUAAGAUUUUAGUUUAAUAUUAAAAUUAUAUAAUUUAUAUUAAUAUUAUAAUUAAAAAAUUUGGUGAUGAUAAAAUAAUAAAAUAAAUAUUGAAUCUGUGUUUCUAAAACAGUCCUGCUAUAUUUCAUAUCAAUCCAAAUCCGUCAUGCUAUAUUUUUCGUCUCAUGAUAUUUUUUUUUUUAUAAGUUUAAAUAUUAGUUGUGGAAUUAAUUUUGAUUAUGAUUUUAUACCGAAAAAGUUAUGGACUAUUAAUUCUAUGGAAUAUUCAAACCAAAAUAAAGAAUGUUUUUAGGUGCACAUAUAAUUGGGUUUGCUCAUUUUCCGGGAUCGUAAAUGUAUUUUUUGGUUUGUUUCACAUUUGUUUUAAUUUAUUGCCGAAAUUUAAUACAAAUAAUUCAAAUAGUUCAAAUUUUGGUUGUUUUAAGAUUUAGUAAAUAUUGUAGGUAAAAUAAGGAAAAGUUAAAUUAUUGUGUUUUGCGUGACAUAUGGGAUUGCCAUAUAUUUAGAAUCUUUUUGGUUUGUUACACAAUUAAUUGUCGUAUAAAAAUUCAAACCAUUAAUUAAAAAAAAUCAAAUAAUUUAAAUCCAUUGGCAGCCAUUGUAAAUAAGUUCUAACUUUAAGAUUUAUUUCAUAAAAUGGAUAUAAAAAUGUAUAUGUAGAUCCUACAAAUAAAUCUAUUAUCUAACUAUAAAAAUUCACGUCCAAAAAAAUACAUCAUAGCCAGGCCUGAUCAUAGGUAUAAAAUUAGGGGGAUUUAGCAAUUCUAAAAUUAAUCUAUUAUCUAACAAAAUUGGAUAUUUAUAAUUUAACAAAAAAAAAAAAAAAAAAAAAUUGAUAUUCAUAAACUACUAUUAUAGAAAAUAAUUUAUUCUUUUGCCAAAUCCUUCUUUCUGAUU